Molecule: long non-coding RNA, 941 nt
Organism: Tympanuchus pallidicinctus (lesser prairie-chicken)
Lineage: Eukaryota; Metazoa; Chordata; Aves; Galliformes; Phasianidae
Exons: 3
Source: RefSeq, a predicted model, not a curated record
UGUUGCUUUCGGGCGUCGUGAGGGAGGCAACUGGGAGAGGUGCUGCAUCGUGCGUGGCUCAAUGCCUUUCUUUUUUUCUGGCGUGUCUCCCGCCCGAGCUUUGGCCAGUGGAGAUGGCAGGCACCUCAGACCAAGCUGGAUGUGGCAGCCAAGCUGUGAGGAAGCAGGCAGUGCUUCUUCCUCUUCUUCACUCAGAGAGAUGCAGAGCCCAUCAGGAAGUCCAGGCUAUUGCCCAACAUGUCAUCAGGACUAAGGGCAUCAUUGUGAAUAUGCUGCACGAAUCUUUUGACAAGGGAAUUACAAAAGAGAAAGGGGAAGCACGUAAUUCAGGCUGAUUUUUUUUCCUAUAAGCAAACUUAACAACUUCAGGAGCUCUUUACCUUCUGCAUUUCUUACGUUUCUUUGCAAACCCAAACCCAUGCAUGCAAAAAUGUUGCUGUUGUUCACUUCAUCAUGUGGCAGCACUUGGGAACCACUUGACAGUGAGGCUGGGCAAGCAACCCAGGAGACAGAUUGUCCUGUGGAAGCCACUGGUGAGACCAAAUUCUGCUGUCAUCCAACCUGGACAGUGUUUGAGGAAUGUGUCCUUAAGCUGAGAUCACCUCCACAGGACUUUGGAGGAGGUAAUAUGUGUUGACCUGGAGCAACAACUGCUGCACUCCAGCUUGUGGUCCGGGCAGGCAGAGCUGGAGCAGCAUCCACCUCUUUUCCAUUGGCUGGGACCAGGUGUUGCACUGCUUCAGUAACCCUUGCUUGGAUGGCGAAGGAGAGAAGCUGAAAGUUUCCUAAGGCAAACUCCUGCUGCAAGGCUCUGGUGCCCCCAUGGAGCUGGGCGUGGGGUCAGCCCUGACUUCAUUGUAGCAAGGGCUGCCCCCCUCUACAGGGGCUUCUCCCAUGCAGUUCAGGUUGUUCCACGCAGAGCUUAGGGGCUGCCUGCUAAA